Molecule: ribosomal RNA, 492 nt
Filed under: uncultured bacterium
Lineage: Bacteria
Description: partial 16S ribosomal RNA
Rfam family: Bacterial small subunit ribosomal RNA
Source: RNAcentral
AGUGAACGCUGGCGGUAGGCCUAACACAUGCGAGUCGAACGGCAGCACAGUAAGAGCUUGCUCUUACGGGUGGCGAGUGGCGGAAGGGUGAGGAAUACAUCGGAAUCUACUUUUUCGUGGGGGAUAACGUAGGGAAACUUACGCUAAUACCGCAUACGACCUACGGGUGAAAGCAGGGGAUCUUCGGACCUUGCGCGAUUGAAUGAGCCGAUGUCGGGUUAGCUAGUUGGCGGGGUAAAGGCCCACCAAGGCGACGAUCCGUAGCUGGUCUGAGAGAAUGAUCGGCCACAUUGGAACUGAGACACGGUCCAGACUCCUACGGGAGGCAGCAGUGGGGAAUAUUGGACAAUGGGCGCAAGCCUGAUCCAGCUAUACCGCGUGGGUGAAGAAGGCCUUCGGGUUGUAAAGCCCUUUUGUUGGGAAAGAAAAGCAGCAGGUUAAUACCCCGCUGUUCUGACGGUACCCAAAGAAUAAGCACCGGCUAACUUCGUG